AGUGAACGCUGGCGGCGUGCUUAACACAUGCAAGUCGAACGGUAACAGAUAGAAGCUUGCUUCUAUGCUGUCGAGUGGCGGACGGGUGAGUAAUGUAUAGUUAAUCUGCCCUUUAGAGGGGGAUAACAGUUGGAAACGACUGCUAAUACCCCAUACUCCUUUCUACUUAAUGUAGAUUGGGAAAUGUUUUUUCGCUAAAGGAUGAGACUAUAUGGUAUCAGCUAGUUGGUGAGGUAAGAGCUCACCAAGGCAAUGACACCUAGCUGGUCUGAGAGGAUGAUCAGCCACACUGGAACUGAGACACGGUCCAGACUCCUACGGGAGGCAGCAGUGGGGAAUAUUGCACAAUGGAGGAAACUCUGAUGCAGCAACGCCGCGUGGAGGAUGACACAUUUCGGUGCGUAAACUCCUUUUAUAUGGGAAGAUAA
Molecule: ribosomal RNA, 428 nt
Filed under: uncultured bacterium
Lineage: Bacteria
Description: bacterial SSU rRNA
Rfam family: Bacterial small subunit ribosomal RNA
Source: RNAcentral